This 520-nucleotide ribosomal RNA is filed under the name uncultured Glomus. RNAcentral's name for it is "SSU rRNA". It matches the Rfam family "Eukaryotic small subunit ribosomal RNA", at positions 569 to 1094 of the family's 1831-position model. The record is from RNAcentral. Lineage: Eukaryota; Fungi; Glomeromycota; Glomeromycetes; Glomerales; Glomeraceae.
AGCAGCCGCGGUAAUUCCAGCUCCAAUAGCGUAUAUUAAAGUUGUUGCAGUUAAAAGCUCGUAGUUGAAUUUCGGGAUCAAAUUGUUGGUCGUGCUUCGGUACGCACUGGCAUUAUUGGUUCCUACCUUCUGAAGAACCGCGAUGUCAUUAAUUUGGUGUCGUGGGGAAUCAGGACUGUUACUUUGAAAAAUUAGAGUGUUUAAAGCAGGCUUACGCUUGAAUACAUUAGCAUGGAAUAAUGAAAUAGGACGUUUGAUUCUAUUUUGUUGGUUUCUAGGAUCGACGUAAUGAUUAAUAGGGAUAGUUGGGGGCAUUAGUAUUCAAUUGUCAGAGGUGAAAUUCUUGGAUUUAUUGAAGACUAACUACUGCGAAAGCAUUUGCCAAGGAUGUUUUCAUUAAUCAAGAACGAAAGUUAGGGGAUCGAAGACGAUCAGAUACCGUCGUAGUCUUAACCAUAAACUAUGCCGACUAGGGAUCGGAUGAUGUUAAUUUUUAAUGACUCAUUCGGCGCCUUACGGG